This is an RNA transcript of Rhea pennata, 2924 nucleotides long. It is a transcript of the gene named general transcription factor 3C polypeptide 5-like, with no coding region annotated. The record is from RefSeq and is a predicted model, not a curated record. NCBI's taxonomy places the organism in Eukaryota, Metazoa, Chordata, Aves, Rheiformes, Rheidae. The transcript is spliced from 12 exons.
GAAGCGAGGGCCGGGCGGGGGGCGCAGGGCCCGGCCCGCGGGAAGGCGCUGAGAGGGGCAGGGUGGCCGCGCAGGCUGGGCAGCCCGGGGGGGCCCAGGUCCCUCCGCUGAGCGGGGACAGGCCUUGGCAGUGGGCUGCAGGGCGGGGGAUGAAGCUGCCUCUCCAGGCCGCUGCCGUCCGUGAGAGACAGGCCAGGAAGCACCGAGCAAACAGGAUCGGCAUCCACGAGUCCUCCUGCGCUGGGAGUUGCCGUGGCCAGGGGAGAGAAAGGCUCAAGGCCUCCAGGAUCUAUGCAGACCCUGCGAAAAGGCUGGAGCUGUAUUUCCGCCCUAAGGACCCCUACUGCCAUCCCGUGUGUGCCAAUCGCAUCCCCACCUCCACCAUGCUGCUCAAGGUGAGGAGGAGGACCAAGAAGAAGAAGCAGCUGGAGGCUGAAGACCAGUUUCAGACUGAAGUCAAGUUUGAAAUGGAAAUUCUGGGGAUUGUCACUACUGUUUACAAAUUUCAAGGAAUGUCUGACUUCCAGUACCUGGCAAUGCACUCUGGACCUGACGGCAAGCAAACCUCUAUGUAUGACAAAGUCCUAAUGCUCAAACCAGAGAAAGAAGAAUUCUUCAAUAGAGAGUUACCUCUCUACAUUCCUCCACCAAUUUUCUCACGUCUGGACACUCCUGUUGACUAUUUUUAUCGGCCAGAUAUACAACACCGGGAUGGAUAUAACAAUCCCCAAGUAUCUGGUGAGAACCUGAUUGGCCUCAGCAGGGCCCGGCGCCCACACAAUGCUAUCUUUGUGAACUUUGAUGAUGAAGAAAUCCCAGCUAAACCACUGGAUGCUGCUGUACAGACCUGGAAGAAAGUAUGCACUAAUCCUGUGGAUAAAAAGGUGGAGGAAGAGCUGAGAAAGCUCUUUGAAGUCCGUCCUGUCUGGUCUCGGAAUGCAGUCAAGGCCAUUAUCAGUGUUCAUCCAGACAAGCUGAAACUUCUGUUGCCAUAUUUGGCCUAUUACAUGCUAACAGGUCCCUGGAGAAGCUUAUGGGUUAGGUUUGGGUAUGACCCCAGAAAACACCCUGAAGCAAAGAUUUAUCAAGUCCUGGAUUUCCGAAUUCGCUGUGGAAUGAAAUAUGGUUAUGCCUCUAAUGAUAUGCCAGUGAAAGCAAAACGUAGCACAUAUAACUACAGUCUGCCCAUCACUGUCAAAAAGCCAGUAAGUCAUACAGUCAGUAUACAUGAUCUGAAACAAGGGCUCAGUACUUCUGGGGCAUCCACUUCAAAAAAGCCUUCCUCCAGCAGGUACAAACUGAAGGAAUCUAUCUACAUUUUCCGAGAAGGAGCCUUACCACCUUAUCGGCAGAUGUUCUACCAGCUCUGUGACUUGAAUGUGGAGAGCUUACAGAAAAUCAUCCAUCGGAACGAUGGUGCAGAGUCAGAAUGCACAGAACGGGAUGGGUGGUGCCUUCCAAAGACUAGUGAUGAUCUGCGAGAUACCAUGUCUCUGAUGAUAAAGCAGAUAAUCAGAUCCACAAGACCUGCUCUUUUCUCAAGUACAACAAGCAGUGAAGAUGGCAAAGAGCAGCUGACAUAUGAGUCUGGAGAGGAAGAGGAUGAUGAAGAGGAGGAGGAAGAGGACUUCAAGCCUUCUGAUGGGAGUGAAAAUGAAAUGGAAACAGAAAUUCUGGACUACGUAUGAAUUCAGUGAGCAGCCUAGCUGCGGUUGGAUAGACUUCUUCCUUUUAGUUUCUUGAGUGCUAAGGGAUUAGCAACCAUGCACAGGAUGUGGAAAUGCAGAACUUGUAAUAAGAUGCCAUCUACUUACCUGACACUGAAUGUGGUACCUGCUGAUGGCCAUCAUUCUGGAUGUUUAGGAGCCAUUGCCUACAUUUUUGUAAUUGCUGGCCAAAAAGCCCUCAUAAAAUUGAUGCGAUGGGGAUACUGUUUUCUUGCCUAGCUCCAGCUGGCAUUUACUGUUGCAGUUCUUGCUAGUUCAGAUGAGGUUUGACCUCUGGUCUGCAAAAGCAACAUCUGCAGGGCUCUCACACAGUGAUGCCAACCUAUCUCUUUGGCCUCAGCCAGCUGAAGGACAAGUAUGCCGGGGCACUCUUCUGGUGUACUUUGUAGCCAAGACGGGGUCACAGAAGUGCAUGGACACGUAGCUGCACUCCUAUCUCUCUCUAUAUAUAUAAACCUGCAUUUUGGGCCUGGCUCCUCAUGUGUGCAUGCACCAUGGCUCGCUGGGAGAGUCUGUGCUUUGCCUUAUGCUGCUACCUUGGGGUAGCACAGGCUGCAACGGUAAGUAAAGAGCCAUUUCCUAUGGCUUUGCAAGACUUUUUUUUUGCCUGUUCCUGCCUGAAUUAAAAAAAAAAAAAAAAAAAAAAAAAAAGUCUGAUUUGGACCCCAUGAAAAAGGGACUGCAGAACGUGACAGCAAAGGUAGGGUACUCUCCUGCUCUAAACAUGCCAAAGGCUCUCACCACCAUUUUCCAAAUGCUCCUUUUACAAUCUUGUAUCAUGUCAGGCCCGGGUUACAUCUGAAGGCUGUAGGUCCUCGACUACUGCUGUUGAUGCUUGGGAAAUGCAGGGAAAUUGCUGCUGUCUGCCUGCUGCAGAGGAUAGACUGCCCGACAUUUGUACCAGAGUAUAUCCAGUGGCAGCUACGUCGGUUUUCCAUAGGGGUCAAAAGGGACAGCUAGGGAAGGAGGCUGCAAGUCAGGCCUUCUAGGGGAAUGCUCCAGCCAGCUUAUUGGGUACUGAUGGGUGCUGGCAAUGAGGGAAGCCAGAGGCAUGAGAGGUUAUGCUGUGUGGAUUUACUUUUCUCUCUUCCCAACGGGACAACAUUUAGCUGGGUGUGGUGCACACCGAAGGAGGUUUUGUGGAAGGUGAGAAUAAAAAGCUGGGACUCUUUGGGAACUACAUUGAUAUCUUCAGAG